CAACAUCCACCAUUGCAUUGCAUAUCGACACCCUUGCGAUGACGACAGUGAACGGCGACGGUGGCGAUGAUACCUCGGCAGUGCCUAGAAGAAGAGCCUCUGAACCUGGUCGCCCUCACGCAAUAUUGCUCUGUCGUGGAAUCGUCGUAUCUAAAGCAUGGCAGCGUUGCAUUGCAUAUCGACACCCUUGCGAAGACGACAGUGAACGGCGACGGUGGCGAUGAUACCUCGGCAGUGCUUAGAAGAAGAGCGGCAACCGCUACAAACUCAUCGGAGGAUAGUGUUCUUCCCUCUCCUCUGAACCUGGUCGCCCUCACGCAGUAUUGCUCUGCCGUGGAAUCGUCGUAUCUAAAGCAUGGCAGCGAACACUCGCAGC
This 376-nucleotide long non-coding RNA is filed under the name Lotus japonicus. RNAcentral describes it as "long non-coding RNA (LJAP_LNC001039)". The record is from RNAcentral. Lineage: Eukaryota; Viridiplantae; Streptophyta; Magnoliopsida; Fabales; Fabaceae.